RNAcentral lists this ribosomal RNA (486 nucleotides) under uncultured Corynebacterium sp. RNAcentral describes it as "partial 16S ribosomal RNA". The record is from RNAcentral. Lineage: Bacteria; Bacillati; Actinomycetota; Actinomycetes; Mycobacteriales; Corynebacteriaceae.
CACGUAGUUAGCCGGUGCUUCUUCUCUAGGUACCGUCACAUAACGCUUCGUCCCUAGCGAAAGGAGUUUACAACCCGAAGGCCGUCACUCCCCCACGCGGCGUCGCUGCAUCAGGCUUGCGCCCAUUGUGCAAUAUUCCCCACUGCUGCCUCCCGUAGGAGUCUGGGCCGUAUCUCAGUCCCAAUGUGGCCGUACACCCUCUCAGGCCGGCUACCCGUCGACGCCUUGGUAGGCCAUUACCCCACAACAAGCUGAUAGGCCGCGAGCUCAUCCCACACCGAAAAACUUUCCACCACAACCUCCAAGAAGUGGUCCUAUCCGGUAUUAGACCCAGUUUCCCAGGCUUAUCCCGAAGUGCGGGCAGAUCACCCACGUGUUACUCACCCGUUCGCCACUCGAGUACCCAAGCAAGCUUGGGCCUUUCCGUUCGACUUGCAUGUGUUAAGCACGCCGCCAGCGUUCAUCCUGAGCCAGGAUCAAAACUCU